GGUAAGCUCGCAUUAAUAACGCAACGUUCGAGGGAGUUAGAUCCCUUCUCACAAAAAACAUCAAGAAGGAACAGGGGGUGGGAUUAGGCCAUCUUAAUUGGCCACAUGUGCCCAUUUGGAGACACCAUGGGCUAAUCCAUUACAGUUUCUAGGUAUUUUUCAAAAAUUCAACUUUGCUCUGCAUUCCCAAAUUGUCGAGGUGGUUUGGACAUCAAUCUGGGCUGCUCGAUUAACUCCAUCUGAUUUUUCUUGAUCUAGUUGAUGGCAACAGCUGAGUCAAACUCGAUGAUGGCUUUUUGUAUUUGCUCCAUGGAUUUUUACAACUGCAAAUCUGAUUGCCCGUAACUCUGCAGAUGUCAUUUGCAAAGAUUUCAAAGGCUUCGGCAUGAAGAAGAAAUCCAUCAUGGUCGUGGUAGACAAAAGCAACAACACUUUUAUCCUCUUUGCAGACGAUGUCUGAAUUUACCUUUAUCCAUUCCUGUGGGGGUGUGUUCACAGUUCGUUUGGUCCUUUACCUUUCGAGUGAAUUUUGCUCUCAGAUAAGUUCCAAAGAGACGACCCAGCAUGUAAUGAAUUAUUGUUGGAUCGAGCAAUUUGGGAAGAAACUGGAGUUUGGUUUGAAAAUGCGGAGGAACCACUCUCUAAUCGACAACUGGGAUAAAGAGUGUAACCUCAGUUGCUAUUUAGAGAGUAACCAGAAUCUUCCGAGAAAGGGCAACACAGAAAUAGAUGGUGGAUGUCUUCGACCUGAAUUUGGAAAAUUUAGCAAAUCUUACCUCUUGUUGGCAUUGUGUCAAACAUAGUUCUCCAAAUGAAAACUUUCAAGCAGUUAUGAAGAUCAUGCUUCCAAAUCCUUAUUUCAAGCAAUUUAGUUUCAUUAUCAAGAGGAAGAGCCCGUUGGAUAACUUGGAAUGUCGUUAUGGUUGUAAACUUUCAUGACUUAGAGGGCACCCAAUACGGUUUGAGGGGUUCCAUUGUGACUGGAGUUUGAAUUUUUUGAAUCUCCGAAAUGGUAUUUGCAGUGAACAAUUGGUGGAGAAGGUCAAGUUUUCAUUGGAGGCUACCUGGAUCAAUCAACUCAAAGACAUACACUGGUUCAAAAGGCGUGGUUGCAUUGUUCACGACAGGGGUGAAAUUUUGGAUUGAUGGUAUCUAGGGAUCUUCCCAAAUUUUGGUAGCUGUAUUAAUUGAGACCAUGUGCUCCCGUUUUUUGGAUGAUUUUUGCACACUUCACCGUGUCCUGUCAUAUCCAUGUGCUCCUUGAACCUGCAAUGAUGGUUUCAACCUUAUGCCAUUUUUCAAAUAUUUUGCACAAAUAAUCUUACACCAGAGUUUGUCAGAUUUUUUAAAUAUGUUCCAUGCGAUCUUUGCGGUGAGGGUUUUAUUGAAGUUGGAGAAUUUCUUGAAUCCUAAUUCUCAUUUGCUCUUUGGUUGGCAAAUGGAAUGCCAUGAU
Sesamum indicum (sesame) is the source of this 1453-nucleotide long non-coding RNA. RefSeq lists it as uncharacterized. The record is from RefSeq and is a predicted model, not a curated record. NCBI's taxonomy places the organism in Eukaryota, Viridiplantae, Streptophyta, Magnoliopsida, Lamiales, Pedaliaceae.